UACGAAGGUGGCAAGCGUUGUUCGGAAUUACUGGGCGUAAAGGGCGCGUAGGCGGCUUAUCAAGUCAGGCGUGAAAUUCCCGGGCUCAACCUGGGGGCUGCGCUUGAUACUGAUGAGCUUGAAUGCGGGAGAGGAUAGUGGAAUUCCCAGUGUAGAGGUGAAAUUCGUAGAUAUUGGGAAGAACACCGGUGGCGAAGGCGGCUAUCUGGCCCGUAAUUGACGCUGAGGCGCGAAAGCGUGGGGAGCAAACAGG
Molecule: ribosomal RNA, 253 nt
Filed under: uncultured bacterium
Lineage: Bacteria
Description: partial 16S ribosomal RNA
Rfam family: Bacterial small subunit ribosomal RNA
Source: RNAcentral